GCCUUCGUGGUGCAAUGGUCAGCACACUCGGCUCGUAUUCGAGAGGUUCGAGUCGUGGAGAGGGCA
Molecule: transfer RNA, 66 nt
Filed under: Stegodyphus mimosarum
Lineage: Eukaryota; Metazoa; Arthropoda; Arachnida; Araneae; Eresidae
Rfam family: tRNA
About the family: Transfer RNA (tRNA) molecules are approximately 80 nucleotides in length. Their secondary structure includes four short double-helical elements and three loops (D, anti-codon, and T loops).
Source: Rfam by way of RNAcentral